Molecule: ribosomal RNA, 236 nt
Filed under: Nakaseomyces glabratus
Lineage: Eukaryota; Fungi; Ascomycota; Saccharomycetes; Saccharomycetales; Saccharomycetaceae
Description: [Candida] glabrata partial 26S ribosomal RNA
Source: RNAcentral
CAGAGGAAGAUAAAARAACUUUAAAARAAGUGAAAAAGUACGUGAAAUUGUUGAAAGGGAAGGGCAUUUGAUCAGACAUGGUGUUUUGCGCCUUGCCUCUCGUGCGGGGCUUGGCUUGCAGCUCACUGCCAGCAUGGUUUGGCGAAACCUGGGAAUGGGGGUCGGUGUAGUGUUAUASCCSUMSGAAUACGCCCRCCGAGAUGCGAUACUUUKUCUGAUGCUGCAUAGGUAUAUGU